RNAcentral lists this ribosomal RNA (290 nucleotides) under uncultured bacterium. RNAcentral's name for it is "partial 16S ribosomal RNA". It matches the Rfam family "Bacterial small subunit ribosomal RNA", at positions 773 to 1060 of the family's 1533-position model. The record is from RNAcentral.
GUGGAUUAGAUACCCUAGUAGUCCAUGCUGUAAACGAUGCAGACUAGGUCUUGGGACAUUCGACCGUUUCAGGGCUCAAGCUAACGCGAUAAGUCUGCCGCCUGAGGACUACGGUCGCAAGACUAAAACUCAAAGGAAUUGACGGGGGCCCGCACAAGCGGUGGAGCAUGUGGCUUAAUUCGAUGCAACGCGAAGAACCUUACCUAGGCUUGACAUGGUUUGGAACCUCGGAUGAAAGUUUGAGGGCCCUUCGGGGCUGAACCACAGGUGCUGCACGGUUGUCGUCAACU